AUUGAACGCUGGCGGCAUGCUUUACACAUGCAAGUCGAACGGUAGAGGGGGCAACCCCUUGAGAGUGGCGAACGGGUGAGUAAUGCAUCGGAACGUGCCCAGUCGUGGGGGAUAACGCAGCGAAAGCUGUGCUAAUACCGCAUACGAUCUCUGGAUGAAAGCGGGGGACCGAAAGGCCUCGCGCGACUGGAGCGGCCGAUGUCAGAUUAGGUAGUUGGUGGGGUAAAGGCUCACCAAGCCAACGAUCUGUAGCUGGUCUGAGAGGACGACCAGCCACACUAGGAAGGAGACACGGCCCAGAUGCCUACGGGAGUCAGAAGUGGGGAAUAUUAGAGAAUGGGCGCAAGCCUGAUCCAUCAAUGCCGCGUGCAGGAAGAAGGCCUUCGGGUUGUAAACUGCUUUUGUACGGAACGAAAAGGUCUGGGUUAAUACCCUGGGCACAUGACGGUACCGUAAGAAUAAGCACCGGCUAACUACGUGCCAGCAGCCGCGGUAA
Molecule: ribosomal RNA, 496 nt
Filed under: uncultured bacterium
Lineage: Bacteria
Description: partial 16S ribosomal RNA
Rfam family: Bacterial small subunit ribosomal RNA
Source: RNAcentral